UACAGAGGUCUCAAGCGUUGUUCGGAUUCAUUGGGCGUAAAGGGCGCGUAGGCUGCGGGGCAAGUCGGGUGUGAAAUCUCAGAGCUCAACUCUGAAACUGCACUCGAUACUGCUUUGCUUGAGGACUGGAGAGGAGAGUGGAAUUCCUGGUGUAGCGGUGAAAUGCGCAGAUAUCAGGAAGAACACCCGUGGCGAAGGCGGCUCUCUGGUACGUGACUGACGCUGAGACGCGAAAGCGUGGGGAGCAAACAGG
RNAcentral lists this ribosomal RNA (253 nucleotides) under uncultured bacterium. Its description in RNAcentral is "partial 16S ribosomal RNA". It matches the Rfam family "Bacterial small subunit ribosomal RNA", at positions 524 to 776 of the family's 1533-position model. The record is from RNAcentral.